CGCACCUUGCGCUCCUUGGUAUUCCGAGGAGCAUGCCUGUUUGAGUGUCAUGAAAUUCUCAACCUAUAAAGCUUUUGUGGUCUUAUAGGAUUGGACUUGGAGGCUUUGUCGGCUGCUUGCAGUGGGCUCCUCUCAAAUGUAUUAGCUUGAUUCCUUGCGGAUCGGCUCUCGGUGUGAUAAUGUCUACGCCGCGACCGUGAAGCGUUUGGCGAGCUUCUAGUCGUCUCAUUAGAGACAGCUUCAUUGACCUCUGACCUCAAAUCAGGUAGGACUACCCGCUGAACUUAA
RNAcentral lists this unclassified non-coding RNA (288 nucleotides) under Polyporales sp. RNAcentral describes it as "partial contains 5.8S ribosomal RNA, internal transcribed spacer 2, and large subunit ribosomal RNA". Lineage: Eukaryota; Fungi; Basidiomycota; Agaricomycetes; Polyporales. The record is from RNAcentral.